UGGGGAAUAUUGCACAAAUGGGCGCAAGCCUGAUGCAGCCAUGCCGCGUGUGUGAAGAAGGCCUUCGGGUUGUAAAGCACUUUCAGCGAGGAGGAAGGUGGUGAACUUAAUACGUUCAUCAAUUGACGUUACUCGCAGAAGAAGCACCGGCUAACUCCGUGCCAGCAGCCGCGGUAAUACGGAGGGUGCAAGCGUUAAUCGGAAUUACUGGGCGUAAAGCGCACGCAGGCGGUUUGUUAAGUCAGAUGUGAAAUCCCCGGGCUCAACCUGGGAACUGCAUUUGAAAACUGGCAAGCUAGAGUCUCGUAGAGGGGGGUGAGAAUUCCAGGUGUAGCGGUGAAAUGCGUAGAGAUCUGGAGGAAUACCGGUGGCGAAGGCGGCCCCCUGGACGAAGACUGACGCUCAGGUGCGAAAAGCGUGGGGAGCAAAACAGGAUUAGAUACCCUGGUAGUCCACGCUGUAAACGAUGUCGAUUUUGGAGGUUGUGUCCUUGAGGCGUGGCUUCCGGAGCUAACGCGUUAAAUCGACCGCCUGGGGAGUACGGCCGCAAGGUUAAAACUC
Molecule: ribosomal RNA, 561 nt
Filed under: uncultured bacterium
Lineage: Bacteria
Description: partial 16S ribosomal RNA
Rfam family: Bacterial small subunit ribosomal RNA
Source: RNAcentral